RNAcentral lists this ribosomal RNA (482 nucleotides) under uncultured bacterium. RNAcentral's name for it is "partial 16S ribosomal RNA". It matches the Rfam family "Bacterial small subunit ribosomal RNA", at positions 30 to 507 of the family's 1533-position model. The record is from RNAcentral.
AUUGAACGCUGGCGGCAUGAUUUACACAUGCCAGUCGAACGGUAACAGGCCGCAAGGUGCUGACGAGUGGCGAACGGGUGAGUAAUGCAUCGGAACGUGCCCAGUCGUGGGGGAUAACUACUCGAAAGAGUAGCUAAUACCGCAUACGAACUAUGGAUGAAAGCGGGGGACCGUAAGGCCUCGCGCGAUUGGAGCGGCCGAUGUCAGAUUAGGUAGUUGGUGGGGUAAAGGCUCACCAAGCCAACGAUCUGUAGCUGGUCUGAGAGGACGACCAGCCACACUGGGACUGAGACACGGCCCAGACUCCUACGGGAGGCAGCAGUGGGGAAUUUUGGACAAUGGGCGCAAGCCUGAUCCAGCAAUGCCGCGUGCAGGAAGAAGGCCUUCGGGUUGUAAACUGCUUUUGUACGGAACGAAACGGCUCUGGUUAAUACCCGGGGCUAAUGACGGUACCGUAAGAAUAAGCACCGGCUAACUACGUG